GUCAGAAAUGUUGCAACUUGCUAUCCUGCCUGAAAAAAUGGCUUCAGUUGGAGCUCUGUCAGUCUGCUCCCUUAACUAAGUCUAAUCACCAUUCUUUCUUACUUUCAGCAGAACAGCUAAGAAGGACUGCAAAACAAGAUGACCAUAAAUUACAGUAUCUGUUGAAGACAUUUUCUGUUCUGAUCUCUUACAUUUUUGGGUUGGAAUUUUAUGGAUGCUUCCAUGUUUAAUUAUAAUCAUGCAUGGACUUUUCUCUUAAAAUCACUGUUUUUCCUGUAAUGGUUCUCCAAGUUUCUUUAUAUAAUUAAUGUAUCAUUCCAGGACUAAAUUUGAAAAGGUCAUAGGGGAUGAUUCAACUAUGCACUUGCUUAUUAUGAAGUUUCUGUUAGGAAUUGGGAUGCAAACCUACGCAUAGAAGGAAUUUGAAACCACACAUGGAAAACAGUAAACACCCAGCCCAGAGCAUCAAAUGAGGGGAGCAGCUGCUGACCCCCUGCGCACUGCCAGCUGGAGAAGCCAGAGAAGCUUGAUCCAUGCAGUGAUCAGCCAGCAAUGACAGUGAACCUGAAACAGGAUCUUAGAGGAAGACUCGAGCAUUAAGGAGAAAACUACUUUACACCUUUAGUAAAGAUCUUUUCAUAUGGUUGAGAUGUUAUUGUGAUCCAAUCUUGCUAGUAGGGGGGUAUGACAGAAGAGUAGUAAGAAUUAAGCCCUUCAUUUGCGUUAGAUACAUACAAAACCCACAGAAUCACACAAUCUUCAGUAGUUAGAAUUUCUAAUAAUAUAAGAUAGUAAAUCUCACAUAUUUUCAAGGUGCUGUAAGGCAUUAACUAAUCAAUUUUCAUAUUUCAUCUGGAAGAGGUAAAAACAUGUAAAGUUAGGUUAACUCAGACAAGAUCAUACAAGUUGUAUAAGUAAUUACAUCAUGACUAAGGCAGAGACUGACUUCUGCAAAUUAAUACUUAAUCCACUUCCUCUUUUAAGGUAAAACACUAUAUCAUGUAUUGAAUUCUAAAUGCUUUUGCUGGUGAGUUAACUGUUUUAUAGAGAACUGCAAAUUUUACCAUCCACUGUUAUACGGACAAAACCAUAGAAAUGUGUAUGGAAUUUGAAAUGAAAUCAGAGAAUUGUGUGGUCAAUGAGGGAUAUAAAAAACAACAACAAAACCAACAACACACACACACAUCAAGAAGUGACUCAAUCACUCAUAUUUUUCAUUCCUUAAAUUUCUUUCUUUCUUUGAAUUUUGAGAAGAAAACCCAGUACUAUUACUUUUAUCUUCAAUAAACACCAUUGAGAAUACUUUCAGCUAUCUUUAAGCCUAGUACAGGCUGGUGUUAUUUUGUGUGUGAAGCUUGUUUAAAGGCAAAAUAGUAUUAUCUGUGCCUAUGUUUUUCUUUCAUGAAGAAGAAUUUCUUUAUAUCCCUAUCAAGUAAAUUAUUUCUAGAACAAGUAAAAAUUUUAUAGUGAUAUAAAGGUUAAGUGCUCACAGGCAUAAACAUUCCAUGGGAAGGGAUUUAUUUAUUUAUUUAGACAAACUCUGUCUAUGUCUACAGUAGCUACGUGGUCUGUUCAUUGUAGCCCAAUGAGAGCAGAUCUGUAGAGCAAAGCAGACAGUGCAAACAUCUACUUCAUAUAUUACAUAUAAAGUGUGUCAUGUCAAGGGAUUUUAUUUUAGAAUGGCUCUAGUGUGGUACAAAUUUAGACUAGUCAUAGUAGCUGGUAUGAAUUAGGUGUGAAUCUUCUGUUUUAGACACAUUUUAAAGGAAUGCAGUGUAUGUUGUAGCAAAGCACAGCAAGAAGGGAUAGUUGGCAAAUUGUCGGCAAUGGUAAGCUCCUCAUCUGAACUAAAAUGUUAAUAUAUCCUGUAGCUUGUGGGAAUCAACUGUAAGGAAAGAAAAACAAACCACCAAACUAUCAGGACAUGUCAAGCAGAUUAUGACCCACAGAUAGAGAGCAAGUAGAGGAUGGUCUGUACUCCCAGCAUUUCACUAGGUGUAAAA
Molecule: non-coding RNA, 2003 nt
Organism: Anas platyrhynchos (mallard)
Lineage: Eukaryota; Metazoa; Chordata; Aves; Anseriformes; Anatidae
Source: RefSeq, a predicted model, not a curated record